Long non-coding RNA from Phycodurus eques (leafy seadragon), 2622 nucleotides. RefSeq lists it as uncharacterized. The transcript is spliced from 4 exons. The record is from RefSeq and is a predicted model, not a curated record. NCBI's taxonomy places the organism in Eukaryota, Metazoa, Chordata, Actinopteri, Syngnathiformes, Syngnathidae.
CAUUGCAAAGAGGCGGAGCUACUUCAAAUGACGUCGACGUGGGCGUCAUGUAUUAGCCAAUAGUAUUGUGAAAGAGAGCAAGCGAAAACAUGGCGAAUCCGACUGUAAGUGGUCAUUUAUUUCAUCGAAUGAAUGUAAGGAUUUAAACCACUUCUAAAAUUGCUGCUACACAUUGUCUAUAGUUUGUGUCUGAGUCAGCAAUACUAUCAUGCAUAGGGUUAAGUGUCAUUUCUGCCUUUACUGAGGAAAUGACAGGGUUAAUGAAUCUAUGGAAUGUAUGAGUACUGAACUAAAUGGAAUUUUCAAACAUAUUUGAACUUAUUGAGAUGUUCCUGUAUGUUGUCAUUUGUUUAACUGUAAUUGUUCAAUCCAUCAACCUUAACAAAGUUCCUUCAAUCCAAAAAGUCUUUCUAUUCUUUUUGAAUGCACACCAGUCUGAAUAGACAAUGACAAUACGUCAUGUGACAAAUUAUUUGGGCAUAUUGGACAAUACCUACAUGACCCUAAAGUUUUUAAUUCGUUGUUUCUUGGGGGGGGGGGGUCUGUCUAUUGAGAGUGCAACUGAAUAGUUACAGGAAAGAAGGAAUCAGAGAGAAGGGGAACGACAUGUAUGAAAAGGCAACAACAACAGCCUUUGUAUUGGGGGACCUGCACGAGCCACCGAGCUGACCGGCAACCCGACCCUUGAAAUCCGGUUGGGUGCAAAAAAUAUAUAUAUAUUUAAAAAAUCUUCCCUUUGUUUGUUCUCAGCUCCAUCCAACCAUCUUCAAAGAUGGACGCCUACCGCAAUCCAUUUUUGAAGGCUCACAGUCACAAUACAAAUGCAGCAUUUGUUUUAAAAGCGGGGAGUAGGCAUAUAUUGACACGGUGGUCGACCGGUUAGCACGACCGCCUCACAGUUCUGAGGGCCGGGGUUCAAUCCCCGGCCCCGCCUGUGUAGAGUUUGCACGUUCUCCCCGUGCCUGCGUGGCUUUUCUCCGGGCACUCCGCUUUCCUCCCACUUCCCAAAACAUGCGUGCCAGGUUGAUUGAAGACUCUAAAUUGCCCGUAGGUGUGAAUGUGAGUGCCAACGGUUGUUUGUUUCUGUGUGCCCUGCGAUUGGCUGACGACCGGUUCGGGUGUACCCCGCCUCCCGCCCGAAGAUCGCCGGGAUAGGCUCCGGCACGCCCGCGACCCGAGUGAGGAGAAGCGGAACGGAAGAUGAAUGAAUGAGUGUGCAUAUGUUUUGGCUCAUACGCAAAGCCACGAAAAGCCAGCUUUUUGUCUCGGAGGAAUGUUGCCCAGCACAUGGUCAGAGCUCUCCAGCUUGGACAAGGAGGUAAAAACCCCCCAAAAUGUGAAAACAUCUUCCAAUGAUGGUGAACGUCCCGUUUUGGGCUGCUGCUUGAAGCUUACACACAUAGUUUGAUACUGUAUUUAAGCUGUUCAAUUUUGUAUCUUGCUUGCUAAUUGACUCCAUAUUUUUACCCCGGAGAUGAUCUCUCGUGAUUGGUCCGUUCCACAUGCCGCCUUCUCGAUCGAUUUUGAUCGAGAAGGCGGCGUAUCGUCUGUAACGUAUCAUCUGGUCAUCUAGGUCCGUUUGUUCGAGCAGACUCUGUUCCACGGUCGCCGGUUUCCUUGUUCCGGAAAGGAAAAUAAAACGAGGCCACCGCAAAUGGCCCACAAAAUGCAGAGGAAGCUCCCCCCCUGUGGCGUCCUUGCCAAUACCGGCCGGAGCGACACCCCCGACUCGGAGAAGAACUGCAGUACGUUUUCAAAAAGUAUGCCUGCGAUUGGCUGGCAACCGGUUCAGGGCGUACCCCGCCUCCUGCCCGAUGACAGCCGGGAUAGGCUCCGGCACGCCCGCGACCCGCGUGAGGAGAAGCGCGACAGAAAACGGAUGGAUGGGUGGAUGAAGGCAAACUGCGCGCGGUCGCCGUCCGCACGAGUGUAAAGAAGCCUUAAGGUUUGUUGAUGUUUUUCUUUUGUCUUUCACGCAUGAAGACUCAGCAUCUGUAAUCUCAUUUGCAUGAUCUGAAUUUGUGGGCCUGGUACAAUCCUUUUUGUAGCCUACUGAAAAUGUAUUGUACUUCUGCUAUUUGAGCGUGACACGCCAGAUCUGCGUAGGUGGUGGCGCACCAUCCUAUUGGAGAACUUGGAGAUUGAAGGAUCGGCGGCGCAUUAUACCAACGAAGGCGCCCGGAUGGCCGGCGGAUCUCUGCGACCGAUCUUCCGCAUCUCCAGGAAGAGGAAAUUUGAGAUUGACACGCUGACGGAUUCCAUUUUGACAUUUUGAGGGCUGCCUUCGUCGAAGCUGGGGACCGCGUGAGCCGUUUUGGCCUUCCGGUCAGACGAGAGACGUUCCGCAGUCGACACGCCUUCGCUGGCGACACAGUGAGUGAGUGAUGCUGUACAGAUCGAUUUGAAUAUUUUGCUUUUUUGUUAACAGGUGUCGUGACCUGGAGUCUGUACUCCCCUGACUUUAGGAACAAAUUCCGAAUCCUCUCUGUCAUCGCCGCCUGUGUCCAAUGUCGUACUGAUUCUAAAGACACAAAAGGUUUUCGGGGGCGGGGAAAGAGAGGAGAACUUCUUAGUUUUCAGUCCGACGGCGACAAUCUGGGAGGAUGCUGCUCUUUGGACUGU